CAUACCUAUUCGAAGGGAUAGGGUCGGUUUGGCCGGAUUUCACACAGGUGUUGCAUGGCUGUCGUCAGCUCGUGUCGUGAGAUGUUGGGUUAAGUCCCGCAACGAGCGCAGCCCUCAUCCUUAGUUACCAUCAGGUUAUGCUGGGGACUUUAAGGAAACUGCCAGUGAUAAACUGGAGGAAGGUGGGGAUGAUGUCAAGUCAUCAUGGCCCUUAUGGAGUGGGCUACACACGUGCUACAAUGGUGAUUACAAUGGGCUGCAAGGUCGCAAGGCUGAGCUAAUCCUAAAAAAUCAUCUCAGUUCGGAUUGUUCUCUGCAACUCGAGAGCAUGAAGUUGGAAUCGCUAGUAAUCGUGGAUCAGCAUGCUACGGUGAAUACGUUCUCGGGUCUUGUACACACUGCCCGUCACGCCAUGGGAAUUGGUUUCACUCGAAGCU
This 437-nucleotide ribosomal RNA is filed under the name Wolbachia pipientis. RNAcentral describes it as "bacterial SSU rRNA". It matches the Rfam family "Bacterial small subunit ribosomal RNA", at positions 992 to 1428 of the family's 1533-position model. The record is from RNAcentral. RNAcentral also lists the same sequence under 1 other name. Lineage: Bacteria; Pseudomonadati; Pseudomonadota; Alphaproteobacteria; Rickettsiales; Anaplasmataceae.